RNAcentral lists this ribosomal RNA (253 nucleotides) under uncultured bacterium. Its description in RNAcentral is "partial 16S ribosomal RNA". It matches the Rfam family "Bacterial small subunit ribosomal RNA", at positions 524 to 776 of the family's 1533-position model. The record is from RNAcentral.
GACAGAGGGUGCAAACGUUGUUCGGAAUUACUGGGCGUAAAGCGCGUGUAGGCGGCCCUGCAAGUCGGAUGUGAAAUCCCACGGCUCAACCGUGGAAGUGCAUUCGAAACUGCAGGGCUAGAGUCCUGGAGAGGAAGGUGGAAUGCUUGGUGUAGAGGUGAAAUUCGUAGAUAUCAAGCGGAACACCGGUGGCGAAGGCGGCCUUCUGGACAGUGACUGACGCUGAGACGCGCAAGCGUGGGGAGCAAACAGG